GAUGCCUCAUACGUCCCCAAGCGCGUCCCAGGCUGUGGGCCAGAUCCCGCUGCUGGUGACGCCUGGCCCCAAUCCAGCAUCACUCUGCUGAGGCUGAAUCCGGCCCCGGGCAACUGUCAGCAGUUUCCAAGAGGCCGAGUUUCUAGCAGGGCAGCUGUGAGAGGAGGAAACAAGCCAACGCCGAGUCUGUCCCGCCGUGGCUUCCCCUCUAUCUGCGUUCCCGUGGAAAUGUCAAGGGGCCGGGCAGGGAAUUCACUGGAUUUGCUGCAACUUGCCAGAGGUGCCUUUGUGAGCAGAAGGAAAGUCAACGUUCUCCCAAAAUCACGGGAAUCCGGGAGCUGGGGCUUUCAGAAAAAUGUCACAAGAAUGACGAUCAUUGUACAUCGACCACAGUGCCAUAAAAUGUGACCCGAGGGGCAUGAUUCUGAGUGGCCCUGGAUCCUGUGCUGAGGUUUUAUGAAAACAACAAAGAGUCUGGUGGCACCUUAAAGACUAACAGAUUUAUUUGGGCAUAAGCUUUCGUGAGUAAAAACCUCACUUCUUCGGAGGUUUUAUGAGUUAUUCAGGUAACGAUAUAUUUUCUAGUACAAGAGUUUUCCCUGUGAAGCAUCCCUUUAAAAGCAGAGGUGACUCCCAGCUGCUGCUUCAGGACUUGCCUGUACUAAGCAAAUUGGCAUUGGUAUAACUGUGUUGAAGUGGUAAGAUCAGACUAAAUGCCUCCAACAGAGGGGG
Molecule: long non-coding RNA, 732 nt
Organism: Malaclemys terrapin pileata
Lineage: Eukaryota; Metazoa; Chordata; Testudines; Emydidae
Exons: 3
Source: RefSeq, a predicted model, not a curated record